GCACAAGCGGUGGAGCAUGUGGUUUAAUUCGAAGCAACGCGAAGAACCUUUACCAGAUCUUGACAUCCAAUUGACCAUCUUUUAAUCGAGAUUUUGCCUUCGGGUACAAUUGAGACAGGUGGUGCAUGGUUGUCGUCAGCUCGUGUCGUGAGAUGUUGGGUUAAGUCCCGCAACGAGCGCAACCCUUGUGUUUAGUUGCAAACAGGUCAAGCUGUGCACUCUAGACAGACUGCCGUGGACAACACGGAGGAAGGUGGGGAUGACGUCAAAUCAUCAUGCCCCUUAUGAUCUGGGCUACACACGUGCUACAAUGGCCGGUACAACGGGCAGCGAAGGAGCGAUCCGGAGCGAAUCCUAAAAAGCCGGUCCCAGUUCGGAUUGCAGGCUGAAACUCGCCUACAUGAAGUUGGAGUUGCUAGUAAUCGCGAAUCAGCAUGCCACGGUGAAUACGUUCCCGGGCCUU
Molecule: ribosomal RNA, 463 nt
Filed under: uncultured Fusibacter sp.
Lineage: Bacteria; Bacillati; Bacillota; Clostridia; Eubacteriales; Fusibacteraceae
Description: bacterial SSU rRNA
Rfam family: Bacterial small subunit ribosomal RNA
Source: RNAcentral